RNAcentral lists this ribosomal RNA (423 nucleotides) under Pseudomonas aeruginosa. Its description in RNAcentral is "partial 23S ribosomal RNA". It matches the Rfam family "Bacterial large subunit ribosomal RNA", at positions 2395 to 2817 of the family's 2925-position model. Lineage: Bacteria; Pseudomonadati; Pseudomonadota; Gammaproteobacteria; Pseudomonadales; Pseudomonadaceae. The record is from RNAcentral.
AGGUGCGAAAGCAGGUCAUAGUGAUCCGGUGGUUCUGAAUGGAAGGGCCAUCGCUCAACGGAUAAAAGGUACUCCGGGGAUAACAGGCUGAUACCGCCCAAGAGUUCAUAUCGACGGCGGUGUUUGGCACCUCGAUGUCGGCUCAUCACAUCCUGGGGCUGAAGUAGGUCCCAAGGGUAUGGCUGUUCGCCAUUUAAAGUGGUACGCGAGCUGGGUUUAGAACGUCGUGAGACAGUUCGGUCCCUAUCUGCCGUGGGCGCUGGAGAAUUGAGGGGGGCUGCUCCUAGUACGAGAGGACCGGAGUGGACGCAUCACUGGUGUUCGGGUUGUCAUGCCAAUGGCACUGCCCGGUAGCUAAAUGCGGAAGAGAUAAGUGCUGAAAGCAUCUAAGCACGAAACUUGCCCCGAGAUGAGUUCUCCCUG